Molecule: ribosomal RNA, 431 nt
Filed under: uncultured bacterium
Lineage: Bacteria
Description: partial 16S ribosomal RNA
Rfam family: Bacterial small subunit ribosomal RNA
Source: RNAcentral
AACGAACGCUGGCGGCAGGCUUAACACAUGCAAGUCGAACGCCCCGCAAGGGGAGUGGCAGUCGGGUGAGUAACGCGUGGGAACAUACCCUUUUCUACGGAAUAGCUCUGGGAGACUGGAAUUAAUACCGUAUACGCCCUACGGGGGAAAGAUUUAUCGGGGAAGGAUUGGCCCGCGUUGGAUUAGCUAGUUGGUGGGGUAAAGGCCUACCAAGGCGACGAUCCAUAGCUGGUCUGAGAGGAUGAUCAGCCACAUUGGGACUGAGACACGGCCCAAACUCCUACGGGAGGCAGCAGUGGGGAAUAUUGGACAAUGGGCGCAAGCCUGAUCCAGCCAUGCCGCGUGAGUGAUGAAGGCCUUAGGGUUGUAAAGCUCUUUCACAGAUGAAGAUAAUGACGGUAGUCGGAGAAGAAGCCCCGGCUAACUUCGUG